Long non-coding RNA from Aethalodelphis obliquidens (Pacific white-sided dolphin), 613 nucleotides. RefSeq lists it as uncharacterized. The transcript has 2 exons. NCBI's taxonomy places the organism in Eukaryota, Metazoa, Chordata, Mammalia, Artiodactyla, Delphinidae. The record is from RefSeq and is a predicted model, not a curated record.
GUGGCGCUGGGGACCGCGGAACCCUUGCCUGCCCUUUCGUGUCUGUGCGCACCUGGAAGCACUGCUAGCAGAGCGGCGGAAAUUCCCCUUAUCACGAUGUUUAAAAAUGGAGAUGCAGGAACACAAACCUAUUUCUUCCCUUGGCGACUGGCAGGCGAAAUAACCACCGCCUUCAAGGAAAUCAAAUCUACCCGCAAGAUAUCAGAUACCACCCUGCAAGCCCAACGUUCGUGUGCAAAACUUCACACAUACGAUGCAGAGUGAAGAGUGUGCUUAAAAGGGCAGGCUUCCUGAGGUGCAUGGAAGAGGUGGAUCGGGGCAGCCAGAAAACCCUUUCUAAGGGGUGGUUGCCCAGCCUCUGAAGGUGAUAUUGGUUGAGUGAUACCAGCCAUACAAGACUGCCUUGGAACCACACCCAUCUGAGACUCAAUAAUUCUCAGAGUUGGAAGAGAUGCAACCAUUGAGUGUAGUGUAGGUCUUGUCUACAACAUCCUAGACCAUGGCCUCUUAAGCUGCGAAUAUUCCAAUGACUCCCCGUUCCCUGGUCCAUGAGAUCACCUCUGAAGUUUCUGGAACAGUUCUAGUUGCUAUAAAGUUUUUUUGUUGGUGGUGG